UAAUGGUUUAAAAACAACAAAGCAAAUCUUAUCGAAACUGGUUUUGUAUUUUUGAUUACAUCUGACUUUUCACAUUUUUAUAUCCAACUGUGACCACGGUAGUGCUUCCAUAGCUUGUGUUCAAGGUCCUGUUUCUUUCCAGGUUGAAUUCUUAGGGUUGUGUUGAUGCCAAAUGAUUCAGGGGCAGGACUGGGGCCUGGCUAGCAGACCUGUCAGGGGGUUGAGUGCUCCCUCCGCAGAUCACCGGCUGGCAGCAGGGAGCCUGGGGACCCAGUGAGCCGACGUCGCAUUCCAUUGCGUGAACCCUCACAGACAGCUCAUAUCUCCAACUGAUUUAAGGCCAACGGCUUUGGCCAGAUCUUUGCCAAGGACUCUUCGAACCUGAGCUGCCCCCACCCCUGCACUACCCAGCUUCCUGGGUAAGGGAGGACAUUUUUGCAAACAAAACUUGUGAAAUUAAUUUGUGAUUAUGGUUCGUUUGUUUUUUUGUUUUUUUUUUCUUCUUGCUGGAAACGUGCUGGGAACUGGACAGCAUGAUGUUAAUCGCUCUUUCUGCUUUUCCAAACCAAUACACCUGUUGUGCUCUUUUGCUUCUUAGUGAAGAAAAUUCUAGACACAGACCUAACAAUGAACUCUUUUCCUCCGGUAUUUCUGAUUAGCAAUUCUCCCUAUGUAUUCCUACCUUGUUGAAGUGUUUUCCUUCUUAGCAUUGCUUCUCAUAUUUUACUUUAUUUUUUUACUGAACAACAACAAACCCACAAAGGAACAAAUAAUCUCUUUCUCUUUUUCUCUUUCUCUCUCUGAUGUGUAAUGUUGUGUUCAUAAUUCUAUUUAUAACUUGUUUUAUUACUCAAGAUUCAGCAUAGUGUACUAUCUAUCUCUAUUGUAUUUACUGUUCCUUAAAACCAGGUUGUGGAAGUUCACGUCGUCUGGCACAGAUGUCUCCAUUGCCGAUUUCUCUAAGUUGUGUUCCAUUUAAUUUGCUGUACAGUCCAGAUCUGAAGCACCCCAAGCCCAAUAAGCAAAGGCUGUCACCUCUCCUUCUGGAGGUCUGUUCCUCUGAGCAGUACUGUGGUUUUUCCCUUGCCACGGAACAUCUAUUUUUUUUUUUUCAAAUCUAGUUAUGUAAAGGAGGACAAAAAGACAGGAAGUUAGGCAGAAAUCUAAGAAUUCUUUAUGUUUUGUACAUAAUAGUACAUAUAUUAUAGAUAGACAGGCAGGCAGACUUUAUGUGUGUAUUAAGCAGAAAGGCAAUUGAAGUUAUCCAAAGACUCAGAGAGAGAGAGAGACCCUGGAUUUUUCUCCCUGGUGUGUGUCACUAGAUCAGUAUGAGAGCUGCAGAAAAACUGUUCGUCCUUCCUGUGCCUCAGUGUCACCACAUGUAAGAUGAGGCAGGGCAGUGUUUGGGAGGAGUGGAGAGGAGAGGCAACUAUACUUUCCUGAGUCUUCAGUGCACUUAGAGCAAGAGCAGGGUCUUUACCCAGGAGAUGUAAUCACUGUGUGUCUGGAGACCAUGCUGUCAGCAUCCUCUUUCCUCAAGAUAUUCAGGUCCACUCGGGGGCCACCCUGGAUUGGCAUUAUCCUGACUUCCAAAGUCUUCUCUUUGGCCAGGUGGCUCCUGCACAGCUUGGAAGGAGGUGGGAUUGGUAGACACUAUCUCUGGCAGAUGGAAUUGACUUUCUGUCACCUGGAUUCCUAUCUUUUCUAUAACCCAGUCAGAAUCACGGGCUUGCUUUUCCUCAGGCCCACAGAAGUUUGACACUCUGUAUUUUCCCACCGAAAACUGUUAGGCCCUCCCCACCCCCACCACUGGGAACCAACAUGCACCUUUGAUACUAGAAGCACCUGCAUUGCCAGCAUUUGUGGUCUUGCAGAUGUUGGUCUUUGGCAGAAAAGUUCACCUCUCUCCAAAUGGUCCUGUCUUUCCUCCUCAAAUCCAGAGGAUAGGCUAGUCCUCUGAGGUCUUCAGGCUUCUUGACACAUCAGUCCUGAUGGCCAACCAGGUGGAGACGAGGACUUGCUCUGUCCUCACUCUUUGAGGCUCUUGUCAUCCUACUGGGAUGUAUGUGCCUGUGAGCACUGAGCUCAUGGCUGGCCAUUGCCAGCAGACAUCUUUCAAAAUACAUUGACAUUUUCAUUAGGUUGAGUAGCACUUGCUAUGUUUCCUCAGCAUCAGGGUUGACUGCAAAGUGGCAAGAUGAGGAAACUGAAGCCCAGGAAGAGAGAGGAAGUGAUUUUUCCAAAGAAACACAGCUAGAAAUUUGUGGAGCUCCUGCACCACAAUGCUUCUCUGUCCCUCUCUUGACUUGUAAUGGGUAGCUAAGAGUCCUUCGAAUUUUUGAAAUUUAUAUGGUAUUUUCCAAAGUGUCAUGUUUUAUAUAACUUUCUGGGAAAGAAAACAGUCUAUUUUCUUAGUUACUGCAGUCAAUGUGAACACACAAAUCAACCCCCCACCCCUCGAAACCUGGCUGUCUAUAAACCAAAUUAGGAGGGUUGGGAUUUUGAAUAAGAAAUGAGCUGAUGUCUUAUUUACCUAUACUUUCAGGGAUGAGGAAGAAUAAUGAGAGUAAGAAAUGGCAGGAUCGAAAUCUAUAAACUUAACUAAGUCUCUUGCUAGAACAGAUCUUUCUAAAAUAAUCCAAGUGGUCUGUUCAUCCACCCAGCCACCCUAUCUCUUCUUCAGCUGUUACAACUUUCUUGGGUGGCUUCCACGCCCAAGGCAUCAGAUCCCUCCAGAAGAAUAUUCCACAGUUCCUUUUAGCUGUCUGUUUCAGGAAGCCUACAACUUUUAAGUCUUCCUAAUUCUUACUAUAAAUUCCCCCCCCUCCAUUCUGCACCUCUCUCUGCUAAAUUUUAUCUCAACUGAGCCACCAGAACCCAAAGUGUAGUUUCCUUGUGUAGAAUGGUGUGCCUGGAACUUUCCUGGGUGUCAUUCUUCUAAAAAUGGCGCAGGCCUACAUACCUCUCUCCCCCCUGAGGGGUUGGAAGUGCCUGGCUCAUGGGGCCUCUUUUCCUUUGGGAAAACACCCUUUGAGGUGUGUCCUCAUAGGCUUACAAGCACUUCUUAUUGCUACCAGGGCCCACUGUUCCCUACUAGUGUCAUCACUGGGAAAAGCCCAGUGUCCUGCCUUCCUUUCCCUAGCUUGCAGUUCUUCAAAUUCUUUUUCCUAUUAAAAGGAAAAAUGUCUUUGAUUCCAAUUAGAUUACAGUGCUGUUUCUCUAAAGAGAUCGAGUAACUUGAGCUGAAGAUUUGUAGAGGAUUGAUUCCCUGCAAUGGCUGUUCUAUAGCAUUUUACCCCCUUACCUUGUCAGCAGGCCCCCAGUCAGGCUCCAGAGAAAACUAAACACGGCCAGGGGCUCAGGAAGGACAUCUGGUGUCCCUCCUGGUGGUGGUUCCCCUGAGAGGAAGAAGCUACCAUGACUACAUUGUCCCACAAAACCUUAGGGGAGGGUGUCUCCUUUGAACUGUUGGGGCUGAAAAGAGAUUUUGAAGAAUGUGCCCCCUUUGGCUUGAUGGAGAAGGGUAUUUGCUAUUAAUCAUGUUCUCAAGGCUAAUUGGCAGGAUUUAGAAAAACAGCUCACCUGCUUUACAACGUGGUAAGAGCAGAGCUGAAGAACAUGACAUUGACUUAAGGAUGUAAAUCCAACCAAAACAUCUUAAUCCCUGCAGAAAGAGUGCUGGGUUCCAGUUCCGGCCCUGCAUGAACUCCCCAUGUGACUGUGGGCACUUAACUGCUGGGUACUGUCUGUAAAAUGAGGGAUUAAGCUAGAUAACCUCCCAGGGGUCUUGUUUUGUAUUGUAGAUAUUUUCAAAACAUAUGUUUAAAUACAUAUGAAAAUAGAAUUGUACAAUGAAGUCCCACAGAGCUACCAACAGACUUCAACAGUGAUCAACUCCUGACCAGGCUUGUUUUCAUCUGUACCCCCGUCAGCCUACUGAUCACAUUGGCUUUAUUAUGGAUUUGUUAUUACAAUCUUUGGGUUCCUGGAAAAAAUGUUGCCCCAUUUUCUUAGGACCAAAAUAAGAUGGCUUCCACCAGAGGAAGAUCAGGCAGGGCACUGGUCCCUAGACAGCUGACCAUUGCAACUGGCAUUUCUCCUUCUGCACAUCUUGUCCCUAUGAAUGCUCCUUGUUGAGGUGGUGCUGAGUAAUUGGAGCAUAGCCAUCCCUGGAUCCAAGACCUUGCAUCCUCGGGCCCCACACAUGGAGAAAUCUUGCUCAGGCUGCAGCCUAGUGUGACAGGAUGGAGGGGCCAUUGUCUCAUUUACUGAGCCCACCUAUGGUUCACCUGCUGGAGUGAGGAGCUUUCCCUUCUAGCAAUGCCUGAGAGCUAGUUACUCAAUUCCAGGGCCUCAGCAGUCAAAUCUCCUUCAUCUUGCCAGAAACCUGCCCAGUAUGGAGGCCACUCUUAAGGUUUAUCCUUCCCAUGGCAUUUCAAGGUCUGUUUCCUUCACUGCAGAACAAGGGCAAAGGAAAGGGUUCUUCCAUCUGCUCUGUUUAGUCUUUUGUACAUUUCCUUGUGAUUCAGGUCAAAGGAGCUUCUUUCACUCCCUUAAAGAUCCAGCCAUGCACUCACAAACCUUCCCAUGACCUCACAUUCCCAUGGACUUCCCAUCUGAUGUAGGGGGAGCAUUCCUGAACCCGGAAGGGCUAGCCCUGGUCUCCAGCUGAGCCAAGGUCUCCCUGGGGCAUUCGGCCUCAGGCCUUGCUUUCCAGGACGCAGGGUGUUCAAGGCCAGAGGGGCCAGAUGGUCUUUGGCAAAGGACUUGCCUGAACUCUGCAUGAACCUUGGUGCUUCCACUUUUCACUCAACAGUGACCAUGCCUGCCCUCCUGAAGGGACCUCGGGAAAGAGAGUCUGGAGCCUAGAAACCUGGGUCCUGUUGCCCCAAGCCAGAGAUAUGCCUUCUCUUCUGUGGAGCCUGCUAAAGGGCAAACCCUCUGCUCCUGCACUCUGUCUGUAUUUUCCGAGCUUUGUGAGCCAAGGCCUCCGGUGCUGGGGGCUGGGAGGUAGCUGAGGACAACGGGACUCCUUCUUACCUUUUGUUUACCUUCAGUCUGGCUGAAUUUAGCUGCCCUUAACUUCUAGUUUGCUAACGUCCUUAUUGCCUUAACAGCCACCUAACAGUUAGAACCAGAAGAGAAAGCCCCGUCGGCAGCAUUCAUUGUUAAGCCCCACAUUUGUCACUGGCUCCCCUUCCCCUGUGCUGCUGUGCCUGAAAAGAGGCCCAGCCCUGUCCCCUAAGCGCUGGGUUGGCCUCUUGCUGAGACAGAAACAGUUCCCAGGUUGAGGGCAAACCCAGAACUGCUCAGGCGGGGCUCCCCACUAGCGUUUCCCCUCCCGCCCCCCUUGCUCAGCUUCAGAUCUGGACUCCUCACGCUCUUUGCGCCACCUCUUGCUCCAGAGACCCUCCACACCCCAUCAUUCUCCGAGCCGUUCCUGAGGACCAUCUAGACUUUCCGUUCUCCUGAACAUUCUAUCCACCUUCAGCUGCGGCAUAUCCUUUAGCCUCUCCACCAAGCUCUUUAAAAACACAAGGCAGUUGCUGUCUUCCCAUGGACAAUAAUGAAUGUAUCUACUGUUAAGUGCAGACCAUGUAGAGAAGUGGCUGGGUUAAUCAAAAAGAGGAUUUUUGUAAAGCCUGUUUAUUUUUUUAAGUCAGUUUUGAGCAUUUCUAUUUUAUCACCCUUCACAUGGUUUUGGGGAACCCAAAUUGUAUCAAGGUCUCAUGCCAAAACAAGCCAAAAGUUGUUUUCUUUACCUUUUUCCUCCAUGCACCAUGAUUUAAAUGAUUGUUUCAGUGUCAUUUUAAAUGUUUUCUUGUAACAUGUACUGACGAUAAAAGUCAUCUUGACAAAAAAAGAUUUAUACAUGAAUCAGAAAGUAUUUAUUUCAAUUUUGUACCUUUCCAUUUUAAUACAUUAUAAUGUAUUGACUCAACUGAGAUACUAUAAACAGUUCAUUUUAAU
Molecule: long non-coding RNA, 5970 nt
Filed under: Sus scrofa (pig)
Lineage: Eukaryota; Metazoa; Chordata; Mammalia; Artiodactyla; Suidae
Description: lncRNA (ENSSSCG00050023258.1)
Source: RNAcentral